RNAcentral lists this long non-coding RNA (239 nucleotides) under Gossypium raimondii (Peruvian cotton). RNAcentral describes it as "long non-coding RNA (GRAI_LNC002982)". Lineage: Eukaryota; Viridiplantae; Streptophyta; Magnoliopsida; Malvales; Malvaceae. The record is from RNAcentral.
UAAAAUUUUUAUUGUUUCUUGUGUUAGUGGGUUAAAGUAUGUUGUACAUUUCCUCCUCCGUGCAACAUAAUUCUUUGGUGUCUAAUCAAUUUUGGACUCCUAGUGCUACUAGGUUUGCUUUGCUAGUUUGAUUCUAAUACAUUCUGAUUAGUUGAUAUAAACACUUUUAAACGAUUCACAAGAUUAAUUAUUACAUCAUUAAGAAUUUGAUUUUUAUUUUUGAGUGCAUAACAGUGAGG